This 482-nucleotide ribosomal RNA is filed under the name uncultured bacterium. Its description in RNAcentral is "bacterial SSU rRNA". It matches the Rfam family "Bacterial small subunit ribosomal RNA", at positions 23 to 518 of the family's 1533-position model. The record is from RNAcentral.
CUCAGGACGAACGCUGGCGGCGUGCCUAACACAUGCAAGUCGAACGGACGAAGGGAGCUUGCUCCCUUAGUUAGUGGCGAACGGGUGAGUAACGCGUGAGCAACCUGCCUUUCAGAGGGGGACAACGGUUGGAAACGACCGCUAAUACCGCAUGAAGCAUCGAGGUCGCAUGGCCCUGAUGUUAAAGAUUUAUCGCUGAAAGAUGGGCUCGCGUCUGAUUAGAUAGUUGCGGGGUAACGGCCCACCAAGUCGACGAUCAGUAGCCGGACUGAGAGGUUGAACGGCCACAUUGGGACUGAGAUACGGCCCAGACUCCUACGGGAGGCAGCAGUGGGGAAUAUUGGGACCAAUGGGGGAAACCCUGACCCAGCAACGCCGCGUGAAGGAAGAAGGCUUUCGGGUUGUAAACUUCUUUUACCAGGGACGAAGGACGUGACGGUACCUGGAGAAAAAGCCACGGCUAACUACGUGCCAGCCGCCGC